RNAcentral lists this ribosomal RNA (784 nucleotides) under uncultured Neocallimastigales. Its description in RNAcentral is "partial large subunit ribosomal RNA". It matches the Rfam family "Eukaryotic large subunit ribosomal RNA", at positions 24 to 640 of the family's 3401-position model. Lineage: Eukaryota; Fungi; Neocallimastigomycota; Neocallimastigomycetes; Neocallimastigales. The record is from RNAcentral.
UACGACUACAUAUCAGGCAUAUCAAUAAGCGGAGGAAAAGAAACUAACAAGGAUUCCCUUAGUAACGGCGAGUGAAGCGGGAAGAGCUCAAAUUUGAAAUCUUCAAGGUUCUACCUUGACGAAUUGUAGUUUAAAGAAGUGUUUUCUGUUGGAGUUUCGGUAAAAGUUCUUUGGAAUAGGACAUCAUAGAGGGUGAGAAUCCCGUAUUUGACCGUUACUUUCCAGCUGUGUGAUACACUUUCAAAGAGUCGGAUUGUUUGGGAAUGCAGUCCAAGAUGGGUGGUAAAUUUCAUCUAAAGCUAAAUAUUGGCGAGAGACCGAUAGCGAACAAGUACCGUGAGGGAAAGAUGAAAAGAACUUUGAAAAGAGAGUUAAACAGUACGUGAAAUUGUCAAAAGGGAAGCGUUUGACACCAGUGUUGUUUUUCCGAAAAUCAAUUAAGAAGUGGCUUGAUUUUGUGUUGUAUUGACCUUAUCAGCUUUCUUCACUCUUUUUCGAGUCUUUCUUAAUGCACUUUUCGGUUAACAAGUCAACAUCAAUUUCUUUUGUUGUAAAAGGGUAUUUGGAAGGUGGCUUUACUUUCGGAGUAAAGUGCUUAUAGCCUUUUAACUCUGCAAUCGGAGAGAUUGAGGUCUGCAGCGUAGAUCCUUCGGGGCUAGAUACACUUUGUGCUAAGUUAUAGGCUUUUCAUAGACAACUUGUUGACUCAUGUUUAGUCAUUGUAGCUUACCUCGCUAGAUGCUAUUUUACCUACGCUUAGGAUGUUGAUCUACAGAGCGAGAGU